UGGGGAAUAUUGGACAAUGGGCGCAAGCCUGAUCCAGCCAUGCCGCGUGAGUGAUGAAGGCCCUAGGGUUGUAAAGCUCUUUCACCGGCGAAGAUAAUGACGGUAACCGGAGAAGCAGCCCCGGCUAACUUCGUGCCAGCAGCCGCGGUAAUACGAAGGGGGCUAGCGUUGUUCGGAUUUACUGGGCGUAAAGCGCACGUAGGCGGACUUUUAAGUCAGGGGUGAAAUCCCGGGGCUCAACCCCGGAACUGCCUUUGAUACUGGAAGUCUUGAGUAUGGUAGAGGUGAGUGGAAUUCCGAGUGUAGAGGUGGAAUUCGUAGAUAUUCGGAGGAACACCAGUGGCGAAGGCGGCUCACUGGACCAUUACUGACGCUGAGGUGCGAAAGCGUGGGGAGCAAACAGG
This 404-nucleotide ribosomal RNA is filed under the name Actinomycetes bacterium. RNAcentral's name for it is "Actinobacteria bacterium partial 16S ribosomal RNA". It matches the Rfam family "Bacterial small subunit ribosomal RNA", at positions 355 to 776 of the family's 1533-position model. The record is from RNAcentral. Lineage: Bacteria; Bacillati; Actinomycetota; Actinomycetes.